This 470-nucleotide ribosomal RNA is filed under the name uncultured bacterium. RNAcentral describes it as "bacterial SSU rRNA". It matches the Rfam family "Bacterial small subunit ribosomal RNA", at positions 328 to 795 of the family's 1533-position model. The record is from RNAcentral.
UUGCCAGACUCCUACGGGAGGCAGCAGUGAGGAAUAUUGGUCAAUGGGCUUACGCCUGAACCAGCCAAGUCGCGUGAGGGAAGACUGCCCUAUGGGUUGUAAACCUCUUUUGUCAGGGAGCAACGCCGGCUACGUGUAGCCGGACUGAGAGUACCCGAAGAAAAAGCAUCGGCUAACUCCGUGCCAGCAGCCGCGGUAAUACGGAGGAUGCGAGCGUUAUCCGGAUUUAUUGGGUUUAAAGGGUGCGUAGGCGGAAGGUUAAGUCAGCGGUCAAAUGUCGGUGCUCAACACCGGCCUGCCGUUGAAACUGGUCUUCUUGAGUGAGCGAGAAGUAUGCGGAAUGCGUGGUGUAGCGGUGAAAUGCAUAGAUAUCACGCAGAACUCCGAUUGCGAAGGCAGCAUACCGGCGCUCAACUGACGCUGAGGCACGAAAGCGUGGGUAUCGAACAGGAUUAGAUACCCCGGUAGAG